This 540-nucleotide ribosomal RNA is filed under the name uncultured bacterium. RNAcentral's name for it is "bacterial SSU rRNA". It matches the Rfam family "Bacterial small subunit ribosomal RNA", at positions 32 to 569 of the family's 1533-position model. The record is from RNAcentral.
GAUGUGGCGGGAUGCUUUACCAUGCAAGUCGAACGGCAGCACGGGGGCAACCCUGGUGGCGAGUGGCGAACGGGUGAGUAAUACAUCGGAACGUGCCCAGUCGUGGGGGAUAACUACGCGAAAGCGUAGCUAAUACCGCAUACGAUCUACGGAUGAAAGCGGGGGAUCGCAAGACCUCGCGCGAUUGGAGCGGCCGAUGGCAGAUUAGGUAGUUGGUGAGGUAAAGGCUCACCAAGCCUGCGAUCUGUAGCUGGUCUGAGAGGACGACCAGCCACACUGGGACUGAGACACGGCCCAGACUCCUACGGGAGGCAGCAGUGGGGAAUUUUGGACAAUGGGCGCAAGCCUGAUCCAGCCAUUCCGCGUGCAGGAUGAAGGCCCUCGGGUUGUAAACUGCUUUUGUACGGAACGAAACGCGCUGAGUUAAUACCUCGGCGUAAUGACGGUACCGUAAGAAUAAGCACCGGCUAACUACGUGCCAGCAGCCGCGGUAAUACGUAGGGUGCAAGCGUUAAUCGGAAUUACUGGGCGUAAAGCGUG